RNAcentral lists this long non-coding RNA (863 nucleotides) under Malus domestica (apple). RNAcentral describes it as "long non-coding RNA (MDOM_LNC018771)". The record is from RNAcentral. Lineage: Eukaryota; Viridiplantae; Streptophyta; Magnoliopsida; Rosales; Rosaceae.
UUGAAGGGGAUUUGCAUGACUAGAUCUUUGAUAUUAUAUGAUAACAUGCUUCCGUUGCUCAUGUAUAUGAAUUUUGAAUUGUAUAUGCAUGCUAGUCAUUAAGAAAUCCCACAUGAAUCUCAUAGAUUUCCCUUCAAUUGGUAUCAGAGCCAAAGGUUUAUGUAUAAUGUGUCCUUUUGGAUUUCAUGCAUAUGGGUAUUAAUUUUAUGUAUGACAUAUAAUUGUUUCAUUCAAAGUAUGUUUAUCUUUUGUUUUUCAAAAGUUGAAAAAUGUUAAUCAAAAGUUGAGAAAGAUAUGUAUGCAAAAGUUGUUUUGUAUGCAUGAAUGAAAAUGAGUUUAGACAUAUGAUUUCUUCAUUUAAAAGUAUGUUUAUCUUUUGUUUUUCAAUGGUUGAAAAAUGUAAAUCAAGAGUUGAAAAAGAUAUGCAUGUAAAAGUUGUUUUGUAUGCAUGAAAUGAAGAAUAAGUCAUGAACAAAUUUAGGGGUUUUGUUCUUUGUGGUUGGCAUGGUUUUGGGGAAAUUUUUGAGCAUGUGUUUGUGUUUUAUUGUAAGACACUCACACAUCAUUUCAAAGCUAGAAAGUAGAAACCUUGUCACUUUUGUUUUUGGGUUUGAAAAAUCAUCAAGAAUACACAAAUCUUGAAAAUAUGUUCAUGGUUUUGUUCUUGAUGUUCAUGGUUUGGUUUUGGGUGAAAGUGUUUUUAUUUGGUUUUCAUGCAAAGUUUUAUGGUUUUGGAUGAUGUUCUUACCAUCCAUAAUCAUAUUAAAACUUAUAAAACCAUAAGCUUAUCUAAGAGAUUUCCAUCACCUUUUGAAAUAAAAUCAUUUAAACCAAAACCAAGUGACAAACAAAAUUAUGAUUUU